CCUACGGGUGGCAGCAGUGGGGAAUAUUGCACAAUGGGGGAAACCCUGAUGCAGCGACGCCGCGUGAGUGAAGACGUAUUUCGGUAUGGAAAGCUCUAUCUGCAGGGAAGUAAAAACACGGUACCUGACUAAGAAGCCCCUGCUAACUACGUGCCAGCAGCCGCGGUAAUACGGAGGGGGCAAGCGUUAUCCGGAUUUACUGGGUGUAAAGGGAGCGUAGGCGGCGCGACAAGUCUGAAGUGAAAGGCAGGGGCUUAACCCCUGAACUGCUUUGGAAACUGCCAUGCUAGAGUGCUGGAGAGGUAAGUGGAAUUCAUAGUGUAGCGGUGAAAUGCGUAGAGAUUAGGAGGAACACCAGUGGCGAAGGCAGCUUACUGGACAGUAACUGACGUUGAGGCUCGAAAGCGUGGGGAGCAAACAGGAUUAGAUACCCGGGUAGUC
This 441-nucleotide ribosomal RNA is filed under the name uncultured bacterium. RNAcentral describes it as "partial 16S ribosomal RNA". It matches the Rfam family "Bacterial small subunit ribosomal RNA", at positions 338 to 795 of the family's 1533-position model. The record is from RNAcentral.